Molecule: ribosomal RNA, 253 nt
Filed under: uncultured bacterium
Lineage: Bacteria
Description: partial 16S ribosomal RNA
Rfam family: Bacterial small subunit ribosomal RNA
Source: RNAcentral
UACAGAGGUCCCAAGCGUUGUUCGGAUUCAUUGGGCGUAAAGGGUGCGUAGGCGGCGCGGUAAGUCGGGUGUGAAAUCUCGGAGCUUAACUCCGAAACUGCAUUCGAUACUGCUGUGCUUGAGGACUGGAGAGGAGACUGGAAUUUACGGUGUAGCAGUGAAAUGCGUAGAGAUCAUGAGGAAGACCAGUGGCGAAGGCGGGUCUCUGGACAGUUCCUGACACUGAGACACAAAGGCCAGGGGAGCAAACGGG